GACGAACGCUGGCGGCGCGCCUAACACAUGCAAGUCGAACGGGGAAGUUAGCAAUAACUUCUUAGUGGCGAACGGGUGAGUAACGCGUAGACAACCAACCUUACAGCGGGGGACAACACUUCGAAAGGAGUGCUAAUACCGCAUACGCUCUUCAGGUCGCAUGGCUUGAGGAGGAAAGGAGCCGCAAGGCUUCACUGUAAGACGGGUCUGCGUCUGAUUAGCUGGUUGGCGGGGUAACGGCCCACCAAGGCGACGAUCAGUAGCCGGUCUGAGAGGAUGAACGGCCACACUGGGACUGAGACACGGCCCAGACUCCUACGGGAGGCAGCAGUGGGGAAUCUUCCGCAAUGGACGAAAGUCUGACGGAGCGACGCCGCGUGAGUGAUGAAGGCCCUUGGGUCGUAAAGCUCUGUCAUUGGGGACGAACGACCGCAUCAGGAAAUGGGUGCGGAGUGACGGUACCCAAGAAGGAGGCCACGGCUAACUACGUGCCAGCAGACGCGGUAAAACGUAGGAGGCAAGCGUUAUCCGGAUUUACUGGGCGUAAAGCGUAUGCAGGCGGUUUGUUAAGUUGGAUGUGAAAGCUCCUGGCUCAACUGGGAGAGGUCGUUCAAAACUGACAGACUUGAGGGCGGUAGAGGGAAGUGGAAUUCCGUGUGUAGUGGUGAAGUGCGUAGAUAUACGGAGGAACACCAGUGGCGAAAGCGGCUUCCUGGACCGAACCUGACGCUCAUAUACGAAAGCUAGGGGAGCAAACGGGAUUAGAGACCCCGGUAGUCCUAGCUGUAAACGAUGUGAACUUGGCGUUGGUGGGUUUAAAUCCAUCGGUGCCGAAGCAAACGCGAUAAGUUCACCGCCUGGGGGA
This 865-nucleotide ribosomal RNA is filed under the name uncultured bacterium. RNAcentral's name for it is "bacterial SSU rRNA". It matches the Rfam family "Bacterial small subunit ribosomal RNA", at positions 28 to 880 of the family's 1533-position model. The record is from RNAcentral.